GUGACAGCAGCCGCGGUAAUACGGAGGGUGCGAGCGUUAUUCGGAACCACUGGGCGUAAAGCGCGUGCAGGCGGGUGAGGUAAGUCUGAUGUGAAAGCCCGGGGCUCAACCCCGGAAGUGCAUUGGAAACUGCCCAUCUUGAGUUCCGGAGAGGAAGGGGGAAUUCCCGGUGUAGAGGUGAAAUUCGUAGAGAUCGGGAGGAAUACCAGUGGCGAAGGCGCCCUUCUGGACGGCAACUGACGCUGAGACGCGAAAGCGUGGGGAGCAAACAGGAUUAGAAACCCCGGUAGUCC
Molecule: ribosomal RNA, 293 nt
Filed under: uncultured bacterium
Lineage: Bacteria
Description: partial 16S ribosomal RNA
Rfam family: Bacterial small subunit ribosomal RNA
Source: RNAcentral